This 370-nucleotide ribosomal RNA is filed under the name Perineus circumfasciatus. Its description in RNAcentral is "partial 12S ribosomal RNA". The record is from RNAcentral. Lineage: Eukaryota; Metazoa; Arthropoda; Insecta; Psocodea; Philopteridae.
AGGUAGAUCAUUUAGAGUGUGUAAAGUAUAGGAUAAGAUUCUUGAAAAACUAAAUUGUGUGGCGGCAAAAGAUUAAAAACAGAGAAGUAUGCUUAAAAUCGAAAAUGCACGAUAUAUCUUACCUAAAUUUGAUAUUAACAUUUUGUACACAGCCGUCGGAAGAGUAAAUUUAAUAGUUUGCUCCAGUCCUCUUAAGUAAUUGAAAAGGAUUAAGUCAGGUCAAUGUGCAGACUAUAUUUAGGUUAAAGUGUUCUUCAUUAUUAAUAUUUAUGUGUCCUAAUAUUACUAUAAAUGUAUUAUAAAGAAGUUUAUUAUGGGUAAUAGAAUUUGUUAGUAAGUAGAAUUUAAUAUAUUCUACUGAAUAUACACU